RNAcentral lists this ribosomal RNA (460 nucleotides) under uncultured bacterium. RNAcentral describes it as "bacterial SSU rRNA". It matches the Rfam family "Bacterial small subunit ribosomal RNA", at positions 29 to 486 of the family's 1533-position model. The record is from RNAcentral.
AAUAAACGCUGGCGGCGUGCCUAACACAUGCAAGUCGAGCGAGAAAGCUCCUUCGGGAGUUAGUAAAGCGGCGAACGGGUGAGCAACACGUGAGAAUCUACCCUUUAGUGAAGAAUACCCUCGAGAAAUCGAGGCUAAUACUGCAUACGUCCCUUCGGGGAGAAAGAUGGCCUCUUUGCUAUCGCUAAAGGAUGAGCUUGCGUACUAUUAGCUAGUUGGCGGGGUAAAGGCCCACCAAGGCAAUGAUGGUUAACCGGCCUGAGAGGGUGUACGGUCACACUGGAACUUAGACACGGUCCAGACUCCUACGGGAGGCAGCAGUGAGGAAUCUUGCGCAAUGGGCGAAAGCCUGACGCAGCGACGCCGCGUGGAGGAUGACGGUUUUCGGAUUGUAAACUCCUGUUAAGCGGGAAGAAAGCCUUGUUUCUAAUACAAGCAAGGUAUGACGGUACCGCUAGAG